CCACUGCUAUAGGUAUAUUGCAGUAGUUUUAAAACUGCUGCCAUAAGUCUAUAGUAGUGGUUGCUACAACCGCUGCUAAAUAUUUGUUGCAACAGUUGAUAACUGUUGCCAAUAACCUAUAGCAGUAGUUUUCGAAACCACUGCCAUAGGUUUGGGAAUUUUUUUUUCUUGCACCCUAUCUUCUUCAUCUUGCACUUCCCUCACUCUCUCUCUCUCCUCCCUAUCUGAAACCCUACCUACCCCCACCCAUAGCCAGCCCACCUGCUGCCACCCCCUCCCUCUAGCAUCGUUGCCAGC
RNAcentral lists this long non-coding RNA (297 nucleotides) under Elaeis guineensis (African oil palm). Its description in RNAcentral is "long non-coding RNA (EGUI_LNC012625)". Lineage: Eukaryota; Viridiplantae; Streptophyta; Magnoliopsida; Arecales; Arecaceae. The record is from RNAcentral.